AUGAACGCUGGCGGCGUGCCUAAUACAUGCAAGUCGAGCGAACAGACGAGGAGCUUGCUCCUCUGACGUUAGCGGCGGACGGGUGAGUAACACGUGGAUAACCUACCUAUAAGACUGGGAUAACUUCGGGAAACCGGAGCUAAUGCCGGAUAAUAUAUUGAACCGCAUGGUUCAAUAGUGAAAGACGGUUUUGCUGUCACUUAUAGCUGGAUCCGCGCCGCAUUAGCUAGUUGGUAAGGUAACGGCUUACCAAGGCAACGAUGCGUAGCCGACCUGAGAGGGUGAUAGGCCACACUGGAACUGAGACACGGUCCAGACUCCUACGGGAGGCAGCAGUAGGGAAUCUUCCGCAAUGGGCGAAAGCCUGACGGAGCAACGCCGCGUGAGUGAUGAAGGUCUUCGGAUCGUAAAACUCUGUUAUUAGGGAAGAACAAAUGUGUAAGUAACUAUGCACGUCUUGACGGUACCUAAUCAGAAAGCCACGGCUAACUACGUG
This 496-nucleotide ribosomal RNA is filed under the name uncultured bacterium. RNAcentral describes it as "partial 16S ribosomal RNA". It matches the Rfam family "Bacterial small subunit ribosomal RNA", at positions 29 to 507 of the family's 1533-position model. The record is from RNAcentral.